GCGUUAUCCGGAUUCAUUGGGCGUAAAGCGCGCGUAGGCGGUCUGUUAGGUCAGGAGUUAAAUCUGGGGGCUCAACCCCUAUCCGCUCCUGAUACCGGCAGGCUUGAGUCUGGUAGGGGAAGAUGGAAUUCCAAGUGUAGCGGUGAAAUGCGCAGAUAUUUGGAAGAACACCGGUGGCGAAGGCGGUCUUCUGGGCCAUGACUGACGCUGAGGCGCGAAAGCUAGG
RNAcentral lists this ribosomal RNA (226 nucleotides) under uncultured bacterium. RNAcentral's name for it is "partial 16S ribosomal RNA". It matches the Rfam family "Bacterial small subunit ribosomal RNA", at positions 538 to 764 of the family's 1533-position model. The record is from RNAcentral.